Heterocephalus glaber (naked mole-rat) is the source of this 281-nucleotide long non-coding RNA. Lineage: Eukaryota; Metazoa; Chordata; Mammalia; Rodentia; Bathyergidae. The record is from Ensembl.
AAUUUCCAAGGAAAGAGGGGAGAAAAGUCACCUCUUGGUAAUAAAAUAUGUAAAGAAGAUGAGUUAAGAUUAGUGUGAAACUUAGCCACAUGCAUAAAUACUGCAUGCAGGAUUUGUUCUGAAGCCUGGGAAGAAGUGCGAGGUCCAAUGGCCACAUCUGGUGAGGUGCUUCCUGCUGAUGGAGACUGCAGAGUUCUGAGGUGGCACAGGACACCACAGAUACAAGAGGCCCUUGCACACCUGGAAAUGAGAUGUGAGAUGGUGAUUCAUGGAAAUAUGAG